AGUCAGGUCUUGUAAACAGUCCUUGUGGAAAAUGGGUGAGGGGCGCGGCGGGCGGGAAAUUUAUCUGCUCCUAGGUUGUUGUUGUUGUGAACUCGAGUUGUAUACAUUGUGGCCAGUGGUUGUGUUUGUAUAAUAUGGGUAUUCUCUGCUCAGAGUGGUCCUCUAAGAAGAUUGUUUCAGGAGCCCAACGUAAAUUCUUCAACGCUACAGCAACUUUGGGGGGAGUAUGCCUAUGUAAAUGAUCUCGUUCAGCGAAACUAACCAGUGGGCAUUUUAAUAUACGUAGAAAAAUCUGCACGCAAUUGUGAACACUUAAAAAUGAUACUUGAACUGCAGUUUGUUUUGGAAGUGCAGUUUCCGAAUCUUCAAAGAACUGUUACGUAUCAUCAUAUUCGGAAACUCAGGAGUCUAGAAGGUGAAUGGACUGUUUUUAAGUUGCUGGUUAGGUUCGUAAUGUAUUUGUAACAAAUUUUGUUAUCUUUGCAUACAAGGAGAAUACGAGAUGGA
This is a long non-coding RNA of Macrobrachium nipponense, 507 nucleotides long. RefSeq lists it as uncharacterized. The record is from RefSeq and is a predicted model, not a curated record. NCBI's taxonomy places the organism in Eukaryota, Metazoa, Arthropoda, Malacostraca, Decapoda, Palaemonidae. The transcript is spliced from 3 exons.